AUUGAACGCUGGCGGCACGCUUUACACAUGCAAGUCGAACGGUAACAGGUUAAGCUGACGAGUGGCGAACGGGUGAGUAAUGCAUCGGAACGUGCCCGGUCGUGGGGGAUAACGCAGCGAAAGCUGCGCUAAUACCGCAUACGAUCUGAGGAUGAAAGCGGGGGACCGUAAGGCCUCGCGCGAUCGGAGCGGUCGAUGUCAGAUUAGGUAGUUGGUGGGGUAAAGGCCCACCAAGCCGACGAUCUGUAGCUGGUCUGAGAGGACGACCAGCCACACUGGGACUGAGACACGGCCCAGACUGCGACCGGAGGCAGCAGUGGGGAAUUUUGGACAAUGGGCGAAAGCCUGAUCCAGCAAUGCCGCGUGCAGGAAGAAGGCCUUCGGGUUGUAAACUGCUUUUGUACGGAGCGAAAAGGUCCUUUCUAAUACAAGGGGCUCAUGACGGUACCGUAAGAAUAAGCACCGGCUAACUACGUGCCAGCCGCCGCGGUAA
Molecule: ribosomal RNA, 493 nt
Filed under: uncultured bacterium
Lineage: Bacteria
Description: partial 16S ribosomal RNA
Rfam family: Bacterial small subunit ribosomal RNA
Source: RNAcentral